UCAAGGUGACAGCUGUCAGUCACGAGGAGAAGAUUGGUUUGAAAUUUUCACAUCAAAUUUGUCAGAGAAGAACAACAAAGCAUUAACGGAUGAUGCCAACGAUGACACUUUGCCUGCUGUUGUGGGUUCUUGGUACUGGAGUUAUUUUAUCAGAGGGAGAUGAUCCACCUUUUGAUGAUGAAGAUUAUAGUUAUUUUUUUACUUCUGGCGAAAUAAAUUCAACCUUAAUAAUAAAUGACACUGAACUGCUGGCCUCUCUACUGUCAGAUUUUGGCAGUGGUGAAAUUCCAGAAAAAGACACGACAGGCUCCUCAGCUCCCAGAAACCAUGGACUGAAAACAACUGGUGCUGAAAAUGCUGACCUCUGUUCCCUUGGCCUGAGCUAUGUUCUUUUAGCUUUGUGUAUGCUAGUAUAAAAAAAGUUUGUUUGUUUUUUCUUUUGAAAAGUGUGAGCUGCUUGUAAAUACACAGGAAAC
Non-coding RNA from Maylandia zebra (zebra mbuna), 476 nucleotides. The record is from RefSeq and is a predicted model, not a curated record. NCBI's taxonomy places the organism in Eukaryota, Metazoa, Chordata, Actinopteri, Cichliformes, Cichlidae.